Molecule: small RNA, 24 nt
Filed under: Arabidopsis thaliana (thale cress)
Lineage: Eukaryota; Viridiplantae; Streptophyta; Magnoliopsida; Brassicales; Brassicaceae
Description: ATSL243460
Source: RNAcentral
CUUCUUUCUUCUUCUCCUUCCUCU